UACGAAGGGGGCUAGCGUUGCUCGGAAUCACUGGGCGUAAAGCGCACGUAGGCGGAUCUUUAAGUCAGGGGUGAAAUCCUGGAGCUCAACUCCAGAACUGCCUUUGAUACUGGGGAUCUCGAGUCCGGAAGAGGUGAGUGGAACUCCGAGUGUAGAGGUGAAAUUCGUAGAUAUUCGGAAGAACACCAGUGGCGAAGGCGGCUCACUGGUCCGGUACUGACGCUGAGGCACGAAAGCGUGGGGAGCAAACAGG
RNAcentral lists this ribosomal RNA (253 nucleotides) under uncultured bacterium. Its description in RNAcentral is "partial 16S ribosomal RNA". It matches the Rfam family "Bacterial small subunit ribosomal RNA", at positions 524 to 776 of the family's 1533-position model. The record is from RNAcentral.